This 365-nucleotide transfer RNA is filed under the name uncultured Microcystis sp. Its description in RNAcentral is "partial 16S-23S ribosomal RNA intergenic spacer". The stretch from base 136 to 209 matches the Rfam family "tRNA". The record is from RNAcentral. Lineage: Bacteria; Bacillati; Cyanobacteriota; Cyanophyceae; Chroococcales; Microcystaceae.
AAAGGGAGACCUAAUUCAGGUAAAAGACGAAAAAAAAGUAGUCGCUACCAAGAAUCAAUCCCAAAAGGUCGGAGCGAGGCGAAAUUGGCUUUCAAACUAGGUUCUGGGUUCAAACAAGACCUGAAUCAGGAACAAGGGCUAUUAGCUCAGGUGGUUAGAGCGCACCCCUGAUAAGGGUGAGGUCCCUGGUUCGAGUCCAGGAUGGCCCACCUGCACAGGUGGCAAAAAGAAAGAAAAAAAGCGAGGAAUCAGCACCUGAUCUUACUUGUACAGUAAGAGAGAAUGCUGGCUCUGAGUACAGAGUCCAGAGGAACCUUGAAAACUGCAUAGAGCUAGGUGAAAAAGCCAAAAAAGAAGACCGCAAG